Molecule: ribosomal RNA, 377 nt
Filed under: uncultured eukaryote
Lineage: Eukaryota
Description: partial 18S ribosomal RNA
Rfam family: Eukaryotic small subunit ribosomal RNA
Source: RNAcentral
CAAUAGCGUAUAUUUAAGUUGCUGCAGUAAAAAAGCUCGUAGUUGGAUUUCGGGUGGGAAUGGCCGGUCCGCCGUUUCGGUGUGCACUUGCUACGCCCACCUUGCUGCCGGGGACGUGCUCUUGAGUUCACGCUCGGGACACGGAGUCGGCGAGGUUACUUUGAGUAAAUUAGAGUGUUCAAAGCAGGCCUACGCUCUGAAUACAUUAGCAUGGAAUAACACGAUAGGACUCUGGCCUAUCUUGUUGGUCUGUAGGACCGGAGUAAUGAUUAAGAGGGACAGUCGGGGGCAUUCGUAUUUCAUUGUCAGAGGUGAAAUUCUUGGAUUUAUGAAAGACGAACUACUGCGAAAGCAUUUGCCAAGGAUGUUUUCAUUAA